AGAGUUUGAUCUUGGCUCAGAAUCAACGCUGGCGGCGUGCCUCAGACAUGCAAGUCGAACGAUUAAAGCUCCCUUCGGGGAGUGCAUAAAGUGGCGCACGGGUGAGUAACACGUAAGUAAUCUACCUUCGAGUGGGGAAUAACAGUCGGAAACGGCUGCUAAUACCGCAUAAUGCAGCGGCAUCGCAAGAUGACAGUUGUUAAAGAUUUAUCGCUUGAAGAGGAGCUUGCGGCAGAUUAGCUAGUUGGUAAGGUAAUGGCUUACCAAGGCUACGAUCUGUAACCGGUCUAAGAGGACGGUCGGUCACACUGACACUGAAUAACGGGUCAGACUCCUACGGGAGGCAGCAGUCGGGAAUUUUGGGCAAUGGGGGAAACCCUGACCCAGCAACGCCGCGUGAAGGAUGAAGUAUUUCGGUAUGUAAACUUCGAAAGAAUAGGAAGAAUUAAUGACGGUACUAUUUAUAAGGUCCGGCUAACUACGUGCCAGCCGCCGCAGUAAC
Molecule: ribosomal RNA, 502 nt
Filed under: uncultured Acidobacteriota bacterium
Lineage: Bacteria; Pseudomonadati; Acidobacteriota
Description: bacterial SSU rRNA
Rfam family: Bacterial small subunit ribosomal RNA
Source: RNAcentral